This 253-nucleotide ribosomal RNA is filed under the name uncultured bacterium. RNAcentral's name for it is "partial 16S ribosomal RNA". It matches the Rfam family "Bacterial small subunit ribosomal RNA", at positions 524 to 776 of the family's 1533-position model. The record is from RNAcentral.
UACGUAUGGUGCAAGCGUUAUCCGGAUUUACUGGGUGUAAAGGGAGCGCAGGCGGCGCGUUAAGCCUGGUGUGAAAGCCCGCGGCCCAACCGCGGGACUGCAUUGGGAACUGGCGCGCUGGAGUGCCGGAGGGGUAGGCGGAAUUCCUAGUGUAGCGGUGAAAUGCGUAGGUAUUAGGAGGAACACCAGUGGCGAAGGCGGCCUACUGGACGGUGACUGACGCUGAGGCUCGAAAGCGUGGGGAGCAAACAGG